GACGAACGCUGGCGGCGUGCCUAAUACAUGCAAGUAGAACGCACAGUUUAUACCGUAGCUUGCUCCACCAUAGACUGUGAGUUGCGAACGGGUGAGUAACGCGUAGGUAACCUGCCUGGUAGCGGGGGAUAACUAUUGGAAACGAUAGCUAAUACCGCAUAAUAUUGAUUAUUGCAUGAUAAUUGAUUGAAAGAUGCUAUUGCAUCACUACCAGAUGGACCUGCGUUGUAUUAGCUAGUAGGUGAGGUAACGGCUCACCUAGGCGACGAUACAUAGCCGACCUGAGAGGGUGAUCGGCCACACUGGGACUGAGACACGGCCCAGACGCCUACGGGAGGCAGCAGUAGGGAAUCUUCGGCAAUGGACGAAAGUCUGACCGAGCAACGCCGCGUGAGUGAAGAAGGUUUUCGGAUCGUAAAGCUCUGUUGUAAGAGAAGAACGGGUGUGAGAGUGGAAAGUUCACACUGUGACGGUAUCUUACCAGAAAGGGACGGCUAACUACGUG
RNAcentral lists this ribosomal RNA (505 nucleotides) under uncultured bacterium. Its description in RNAcentral is "partial 16S ribosomal RNA". It matches the Rfam family "Bacterial small subunit ribosomal RNA", at positions 28 to 507 of the family's 1533-position model. The record is from RNAcentral.